This 497-nucleotide ribosomal RNA is filed under the name uncultured bacterium. RNAcentral's name for it is "partial 16S ribosomal RNA". It matches the Rfam family "Bacterial small subunit ribosomal RNA", at positions 28 to 507 of the family's 1533-position model. The record is from RNAcentral.
GAUGAACGCUGGCGGCGUGCCUAAUACAUGCAAGUCGAGCGAACAGACGAGGAGCUUGCUCCUCUGACGUUAGCGGCGGACGGGUGAGUAACACGUGGAUAACCUACCUAUAAGACUGGGAUAACUUCGGGAAACCGGAGCUAAUACCGGAUAAUAUAUUGAACAGCAUGGUUCAAUAGUGAAAGACGGUUUUGCUGUCACUUAUAGAUGGAUCCGCGCCGCAUUAGCUAGUUGGUAAGGUAACGGCUUACCAAGGCAACGAUGCGUAACCGACCUGAGAAGGUGAUCGGCCACACUGGAACUGAGACACGGUCCAGACUCCUACGGGAGGCAGCAGUAGGGAAUCUUCCGCAAUGGGCGAAAGCCUGACGGAGCAACGCCGCGUGAGUGAUGAAGGUCUUCGGAUCGUAAAACUCUGUUAUUAGGGAAGAACAAAUGUGUAAGUAACUAUGCACGUCUUGACGGUACCUAAUCAGAAAGCCACGGCUAACUACGUG